This 1448-nucleotide ribosomal RNA is filed under the name uncultured organism. RNAcentral describes it as "16S ribosomal RNA". It matches the Rfam family "Bacterial small subunit ribosomal RNA". The record is from RNAcentral.
UGAACGCUAGCUACAGGCUUAACACAUGCAAGUCGAGGGGCAUCAGGAAGAAAGCUUGCUUUCUUUGCUGGCGACCGGCGCACGGGUGAGUAACACGUAUCCAACCUGCCCUUUACUCGGGGAUAGCCUUUCGAAAGAAAGAUUAAUACCCGAUAGCAUAAUGAUUCCGCAUGGUUUCAUUAUUAAAGGAUUCCGGUAAAGGAUGGGGAUGCGUUCCAUUAGGUUGUUGGUGAGGUAACGGCUCACCAAGCCUUCGAUGGAUAGGGGUUCUGAGAGGAAGGUCCCCCACAUUGGAACUGAGACACGGUCCAAACUCCUACGGGAGGCAGCAGUGAGGAAUAUUGGUCAAUGGGCGCUAGCCUGAACCAGCCAAGUAGCGUGAAGGAUGAAGGCUCUAUGGGUCGUAAACUUCUUUUAUAUAAGAAUAAAGUGCAGUAUGUAUACUGUUUUGUAUGUAUUAUAUGAAUAAGGAUCGGCUAACUCCGUGCCAGCAGCCGCGGUAAUACGGAGGAUCCGAGCGUUAUCCGGAUUUAUUGGGUUUAAAGGGAGCGUAGGUGGACUGGUAAGUCAGUUGUGAAAGUUUGCGGCUCAACCGUAAAAUUGCAGUUGAUACUGUCAGUCUUGAGUACAGUAGAGGUGGGCGGAAUUCGUGGUGUAGCGGUGAAAUGCUUAGAUAUCACGAAGAACUCCGAUUGCGAAGGCAGCUCACUGGACUGCAACUGACACUGAUGCUCGAAAGUGUGGGUAUCAAACAGGAUUAGAUACCCUGGUAGUCCACACAGUAAACGAUGAAUACUCGCUGUUUGCGAUAUACAGUAAGCGGCCAAGCGAAAGCAUUAAGUAUUCCACCUGGGGAGUACGCCGGCAACGGUGAAACUCAAAGGAAUUGACGGGGGCCCGCACAAGCGGAGGAACAUGUGGUUUAAUUCGAUGAUACGCGAGGAACCUUACCCGGGCUUAAAUUGCAGUGGAAUGAUGUGGAAACAUGUCAGUGAGCAAUCACCGCUGUGAAGGUGCUGCAUGGUUGUCGUCAGCUCGUGCCGUGAGGUGUCGGCUUAAGUGCCAUAACGAGCGCAACCCUUAUCUUUAGUUACUAACAGGUUAUGCUGAGGACUCUGGAGAGACUGCCGUCGUAAGAUGUGAGGAAGGUGGGGAUGACGUCAAAUCAGCACGGCCCUUACGUCCGGGGCUACACACGUGUUACAAUGGGGGGUACAGAAGGCAGCUAGCGGGUGACCGUAUGCUAAUCCCAAAAGCCUCUCUCAGUUCGGAUCGAAGUCUGCAACCCGACUUCGUGAAGCUGGAUUCGCUAGUAAUCGCGCAUCAGCCACGGCGCGGUGAAUACGUUCCCGGGCCUUGUACACACCGCCCGUCAAGCCAUGGGAGCCGGGGGUACCUGAAGUACGUAACCGCAAGGAUCGUCCUAGGGUAAAACUGGUGACUGGGGC